Molecule: ribosomal RNA, 399 nt
Filed under: uncultured bacterium
Lineage: Bacteria
Description: partial 16S ribosomal RNA
Rfam family: Bacterial small subunit ribosomal RNA
Source: RNAcentral
AAUCUUGCGCAAUGGGCGAAAGCCUGACGCAGCCAUGCCGCGUGAAUUAUGAAGGUCUUAGGAUUGAAAAAUUCUUUCACCGGGGACGAUAAUGACGGUAACCGGAGAAGAAGCCCCGGCUAACUUCGUGCCAGCAGCCGCGGUAAUACGAAGGGGGCUAGCGUUGCUCGGAAUUAUUGGGCGUAAAGGGCGCGGCGGCGGACAUUUCAGUAAGGGGUGAAAUCCCAGAGCUCACCUCUGGAACUGCCUUUGAUACUGGGUGUCUUGAGUGUGAGAGAGGUAUGUGGAACACCGAGUGUAGAGGUGAAAUUCGUAGAUAUUCAGAAGAACACCAGUGGCGAAGGCGACAUACUGGCUCAUUACUGACGCUGAGGCGCGAAAGCGUGGGGAGCAAACAGG